GAAGCUGUCGUGUAUCGUCUGACGAAUGGUUUACGGACUCUCGUGUGGGGACCAACUUGGCGAAAGUUGUCCUGUUCGUCGCAUCUGGACACCAAUGGCGGUCGACCGAUGAUGGGACCACCACUGGUGCCGAAAGGUCGUGGAUUGUAUACUCCACCUUCGCCUAUGUAACCACCACCGAUUAUUCCACCUUCGUUGUAACCACCGUAGCCUAGAGGACGUGUGGGCCCUCCUACGCCAUAGGGAUUACGGUCUGGAUGUGCCUGAGGAUGAGCCUGGGAACCAUAUACGUCGUCCACAGGAUGAUCCUGCGCCCGUCUCGUUGGUUGAACCGGCUCAAUUGACACGUGUGAAGAUGUUCGGAGUACACGGCACUUCGACAUUGGAAGCUGGUUUGUCGAAGACACUCGUCAAGGCACUCGCUCAGACUACGUCCAGUUAUCUCAGAAUGAAAUUCAGUGCUCAAACGAGAAUUUCGAUAACGCUGGAACGCUGUAUCUGGUCGUCGCCCAUCGGAGAAAAGAUGCGACGAGGGGCUGCUGUCCGGAUAUUCGGAGCCACGUGCUAUGGAUGGAUCUACGCUUCGUAAGUGGAUAUUGGUAAAGUGUCGUAAAGUAUUAAUCGUUUCACUAUUACUUUACUUUGGACUUUGGAAAAUAAAUAAAAUCCUUUUUUCUCAAAGUUUGAAUUUAGAAAUUAUUGUUUUAUUGUUAAAAAAUAAAAUGUUUUAAUGUUUUAGAUUGAUAUUUAUGUUAGAAUUUUAUAUUUUUGUGUUUAGAUUGUACAUUUAGUAACAUAAAUGUUUAUUAUAAUUUGAUUUGUAUAAUUCUAAUGAUUAAAUUUUUGGUGUAAAUUAAUGGAUGAAUUAUGAAAAAUUUUGAAUGAAGUCACUGAUAGUAUAGAUAUACUUACGAUUAUCCAAACAAACAAGAUCAUAGAAAUGGUGGCUGGGGCUGCUGCUUAUUCCGAUAUCAUCUUUUUGAGAAACGGAAUCUUCUUCAGAAAUGACACAUUGCCUGGUUUGCUCGUCGAAUUCGACGCUUCGACAGAAGUAUUUCUCUGCUCUGAGACAAAGGGCUUGACACUCGUCUAAGGUAAGAUUCGUAUAAAUGUCGACUUCGAAUGGUCCUCGAAGACGUUUGUUCUCUUCUUUGACGAAUACAGUUAACCCAUCGCAACGACGUUCCGCUGAAAAAUUAUAAAAAUUUGAAUUUCUUCGGUCAAAAGUAAAUUGUAAAAAUUCAAGUUAGAUAAUUUAAAUACUUUUUUUAUUAAUUAUGAAAUCAUUAAUUUUCAGAAAGAAAUAUAAUAUUAAUUGUAAGCACCAUUUAAACAAGUAUUUUCAAGGUAAUCAGAAUUUGGAUCAUCCUCUAAUAAUUCAGGAUGCGUUCUUCUAGUAAAACGACUCAGAGCACAGCUUCUUAGAGCAGUGUCGUAGGUUGCAGAUCGACAAAUGAAACUGAACUCGUUCAGACAUCUUCAAAAUUUUCUUCCUGGGAUGUCUCUCGUAAACAUAACGCCGAUUUGGACAUUCUCUUUCUAUCCUAUCAGCUUCACAAAAGAAUACGAACAUUGAAAUAUUUAAUCAGAAAGAGGUACAGAAAUUUAUUU
Molecule: long non-coding RNA, 1611 nt
Organism: Apis dorsata (giant honeybee)
Lineage: Eukaryota; Metazoa; Arthropoda; Insecta; Hymenoptera; Apidae
Exons: 3
Source: RefSeq, a predicted model, not a curated record